GGUGGCUGGCUCAGUGGUAGAGUGCUUGUCUUGCAUGCAUGAGGCCCUGGGUUCGAUUCCUCAGCACCA
RNAcentral lists this transfer RNA (69 nucleotides) under Dipodomys ordii (Ord's kangaroo rat). It matches the Rfam family "tRNA". From Rfam's summary of the family: Transfer RNA (tRNA) molecules are approximately 80 nucleotides in length. Their secondary structure includes four short double-helical elements and three loops (D, anti-codon, and T loops). Further hydrogen bonds mediate the characteristic L-shaped molecular structure. tRNAs have two regions of fundamental functional importance: the anti-codon, which is responsible for specific mRNA codon recognition, and the 3' end, to which the tRNAs corresponding amino acid is attached (by aminoacyl-tRNA synthetases). tRNAs cope with the degeneracy of the genetic code in two manners: having more than one tRNA (with a specific anti-codon) for a particular amino acid; and 'wobble' base-pairing, i.e. permitting non-standard base-pairing at the 3rd anti-codon position. The record is from Rfam by way of RNAcentral. Lineage: Eukaryota; Metazoa; Chordata; Mammalia; Rodentia; Heteromyidae.